Centruroides sculpturatus (bark scorpion) is the source of this 383-nucleotide long non-coding RNA. RefSeq lists it as uncharacterized. The record is from RefSeq and is a predicted model, not a curated record. NCBI's taxonomy places the organism in Eukaryota, Metazoa, Arthropoda, Arachnida, Scorpiones, Buthidae. The transcript has 5 exons.
CGCUCUCUGAAAUUACGUCACCCCACGUUUGUUACUCCAGUUACCGUGGUAACUCAUCUUCCAAUGCCAGAACACGUCUAAGAGAAUUGUAAUAUUUGAAAGGUCAUUGUACUUUUAAGCAAAUGGCGCCUGUUAGAGUGCAUAUUGAAUAUUGCUCGAAAUGAGGUUAUCGCACUCGCUUCCAGAAAUUACAGAAAAAAAUUCAAGCUGAAAAUCCUGAAGCUGAUAUAGAAGGAGAAGAGGGGAGAACUUCAUCAUUUGAAAUCACUAUAAAUGGAAUUUUAGUUUAUUCAAAAUUAGAAACAAAUAAAUUCCCAGUAACUAGUGAGAUUAUAAAUCUAGUUGAAAUGGCAAGCAAAAAUGAAGAAAUAGAAAAAACACAA